RNAcentral lists this ribosomal RNA (955 nucleotides) under Staphylococcus aureus. RNAcentral describes it as "bacterial SSU rRNA". It matches the Rfam family "Bacterial small subunit ribosomal RNA", at positions 56 to 993 of the family's 1533-position model. The record is from RNAcentral. Lineage: Bacteria; Bacillati; Bacillota; Bacilli; Caryophanales; Staphylococcaceae.
UGCAGUCGAGCGAACGGACGAGAAGCUUGCUUCUCUGAUGUUAGCGGCGGACGGGUGAGUAACACGUGGAUAACCUACCUAUAAGACUGGGAUAACUUCGGGAAACCGGAGCUAAUACCGGAUAAUAUUUUGAACCGCAUGGUUCAAAAGUGAAAGACGGUCUUGCUGUCACUUAUAGAUGGAUCCGCGCUGCAUUAGCUAGUUGGUAAGGUAACGGCUUACCAAGGCAACGAUGCAUAGCCGACCUGAGAGGGUGAUCGGCCACACUGGAACUGAGACACGGUCCAGACUCCUACGGGAGGCAGCAGUAGGGAAUCUUCCGCAAUGGGCGAAAGCCUGACGGAGCAACGCCGCGUGAGUGAUGAAGGUCUUCGGAUCGUAAAACUCUGUUAUUAGGGAAGAACAUAUGUGUAAGUAACUGUGCACAUCUUGACGGUACCUAAUCAGAAAGCCACGGCUAACUACGUGCCAGCAGCCGCGGUAAUACGUAGGUGGCAAGCGUUAUCCGGAAUUAUUGGGCGUAAAGCGCGCGUAGGCGGUUUUUUAAGUCUGAUGUGAAAGCCCACGGCUCAACCGUGGAGGGUCAUUGGAAACUGGAAAACUUGAGUGCAGAAGAGGAAAGUGGAAUUCCAUGUGUAGCGGUGAAAUGCGCAGAGAUAUGGAGGAACACCAGUGGCGAAGGCGACUUUCUGGUCUGUAACUGACGCUGAUGUGCGAAAGCGUGGGGAUCAAACAGGAUUAGAUACCCUGGUAGUCCACGCCGUAAACGAUGAGUGCUAAGUGUUAGGGGGUUUCCGCCCCUUAGUGCUGCAGCUAACGCAUUAAGCACUCCGCCUGGGGAGUACGACCGCAAGGUUGAAACUCAAAGGAAUUGACGGGGACCCGCACAAGCGGUGGAGCAUGUGGUUUAAUUCGAAGCAACGCGAAGAACCUUACCAAAUCUUGACAUCCUUUG